UCCCAAGGGACUCUGCUGAUUGGUCAGGCCCCAGAAUUUUUGUCUCUAUCCUGGACUCCAGCACCCUUGAAGAAGCAACUAACAAUUUCACUUUCCAGGGAGCCCCACAGGCUCCCUACUCUGCCCAGCACGCACCCAAAGCUUCUGACCGGGACCUGGGUCCUGCCUCCUCAGAGUGGCAGCGGAAGCUGGAGGCGGCCGAGGCUCUGCUGACUCUCAGAUACUCUUCCCAGGCCCCUUCUGGCUCCACCUCCCUGCUGCAGCCCUGUGCUGCACCAGCUCCCGCUGGAGAUCGAGGACUCCAGCCUCCUAGCCCCUCUCCCAGACCCAGGCUGGUCAGCUCCAUUUCUCUGCCUAUUGGACAUCUGGGGUGCAUCUCCCUCUUGAAGUAGAAGCCCAGAGGAGGAGGCCUCGCUAGAGUACUGCUUAUUUAUGCAUUUGCAAAAUGUUUAAUGUCCAAAAUGCUUAACAUCUUUUCGUUAAACCUUCAGGUGCUUUUAUAAGCUUUCAGACCCUUUUUAUUACAUGGGGCAAUUCCUUGGCUGAGGGUGGGUAUUCUUGUACCUCCAUCCCUUACUCCCUUGGAUCCUGGGGCCUUUUUGCGUCUCUUAUAAAAACAGCGUUGUGCAAUCUAAGCCGAUCAGUCUCGAAAUAGGGUUCUGCGUGAGUUCAUACGUUCAUAUGCCAGGGUUUUUGUUUGACUCGUGAUUGCGAACAUACCAGCGCGCUCAUGUACGUACCCACGCAUGUGAAAAUAUGAGGGUGUUUUCAUCUUGUGUCUAGCUUUGUGUGUGUGGGCAAAUAAUAAACCCUUGUUGUUGUAAGGCACUGAGAUAUAGGAGUUGUUUGUGACCACAGUAUAACCUGGACUGUCCUGACUCUAACAGACUUGUUCAAUUCACUUUUCAAAGUGAGACUCACGUUACUCAACAACUGGGAUUUCUCAACAUGUCUAGAUAAGAAAAUGGCAGAGAAAAAAG
This is a non-coding RNA of Equus caballus (horse), 980 nucleotides long. The record is from RefSeq and is a predicted model, not a curated record. Lineage: Eukaryota; Metazoa; Chordata; Mammalia; Perissodactyla; Equidae.